RNAcentral lists this microRNA (25 nucleotides) under Equus caballus (horse). RNAcentral's name for it is "eca-miR-9025". The record is from miRBase by way of RNAcentral. Lineage: Eukaryota; Metazoa; Chordata; Mammalia; Perissodactyla; Equidae.
UGGCUUGGUAGGAGCAGUACUGGGA